ACUCUCGGGAACAGAUAUCUCGGCUCUCGCAUCGAUGAAGAACGUUGCAAAAUGCAAUACUUGGUGUGAAUUGUAGAAUCCCGUGAACCAUCGAGUCUUUGAACGCAAGUUGCGCCCGAAGCCAUUAGGCCGAGGGCACGUCUGCCUGGGCGUCACGCAUCGCGUUGACCCCUCGUAUCGUGCCUCAAUCACGGGGUGCACUGUCGUCAUGGGGCGGAUACUGGCCUCACGUGAGCCUCGAGCUCGCGGCUGGCCUAAAUGCGAGUCCACGUUGAUGGAAGUCGCGGUAAGUGGUGGUUGCAACUCAACUCUCUUUGCCGUCGCGGCUAUGGCCCGUAGCGCGUCCGGACUCCAGGACCCCUUCACUCUCAGGCACUCCGACCGCGACCCCAGGUCAGGCGAGAUUACCCAUUGAGUUUAAUCAUAUCAAUAAGAGGAGGAAAAGAAACUUACAAGGAUUCCCUUAGUAACAGCGAGCGAAUCGGGAACAACCCAGUCUUAGAAUCGGGCGGCUCCAUCGUCUGAAGGCCUCAGCGGCGGACCGGGCCCAAGACCCCUGGAAGGGGGCGCCGGAGAGGGUAAGAGCCUCGUCGUGCCCGGACCCUUGUGCACCACAAGGCGCUGUACACGAGUUGGGUUGUUUGGGAACGCAACCCAAAUAAGACGGUGAAUUCCAUCGAAGGCUAAAUACAGGCGAGAGACUGAUAGCGAACAAGUACUGCGAGGGAAAGAUGAAAAGGACUUUGAAAAGAGAGUCAAAGAGUGCUUCGGCAUCUGUGCGCUGCGGAAGCUGGCCUGUGGGCUCCCCAUUCGACCCAUCUUGAAACACGGACCAAGGAGUCUGACAUGUGUGCGAGUCAACGGACGAGUAAACCCGUAAGGCGCAAGGAAGCUGAUUGGUGGGAUCCCCCCGAGGGGUGCACCGCCGACCGACCUUGAUCUUUUGAGAAGGGUUAGAGUGUGAGCAUACCUGUCGGGACCCGAAAGAUGGUGAACUAUUCCUGAGCGGGGCGAAUCCAGAGGAAACUCUGGUGGAGGCCGCAGCGAUACUGAAUCAAGGGCCGUGCGACUGCUUUGUUAAGCUGCACCACGGAAUCAAGGGAUCCGAGUGGGCCAUUUUUGGUAAGCAGAACUGGCGAUGCGGGAUGAACCGGAAGCUGGGUUACGGUGCCAAAAUGUGUGCUAACCUAGAUCCCACAAAGGGUGUUGGUCGAUUAAGACAGCAGGACGGUGGUCAUGGAAGUCAAAAUUCGCUAACGAGUGUGUAACAACUCACCUGCCAAAUAAACUAACCUCGAAAAUGGAUGGCGCUUAAGCGCGCGACCUAUACCCGGCCGUCGAGGUAAGUGCCAGGCCCCGAUGAGUAGGAUGGCAUGGCAGUCGCUGUAAAACAUCGGGCGCGAGCCCGGCCGGAGCGACCGUAGGAGCAGAUCUUAGUGGUAGUAGCAAAUAUUCAAAUGAGAACUUUGAAGGCCGAAGAGGGAAAAGGUUCCAUGUGAACGGCACUUGCACAUGGGUUAGUCGAUCCUAAAGGACAGGGAAACCCCGACAUAUAGCGCGUUUCGCGCGACCUCCAAAAGGGAAUUGGGUUAAAAUUCCUGAACCGGGAUGUGGCGGUCGACGACAACGUUAAGAAGUCCGGAGACGUCGGUGGGAGCCUCAGGAAGAGUUAUCUUUUCUGUUUAACAGCCUGCCCACCCUAGAAUCGGCUCAGCCGGAGGUAGAGUCCAGCGGCUGGAAGAGCACCGCACGUCGCGUGGUAUCCGGUGUGCUCCCGGUGGCCCUUGAAAAUCUGGAGGACCAAAUGCCGUCCAUACCCAGUCGUACUCAUAACCGCAUCAAGUCUCUAAGGUGAACAACCUCUGGUCGAUGGAAUAAUGUAGGCAAGGGAAGUCGGCAAAAUGGAUCCGUAUAUUUGGGAAAAGGAUUGGCUUUGAGGGCUGGGCACAGGGGUCCCAGUCUCGAACCCGUCGGCUCUCGGUGGACUGCUCGAGCUGCUCCCGCGGCGAGAGUGGGUCGCCGCAUGCCGGUUGGGGGAAGGACUGGGAACGGUUCCUUCGGGGGCCUUCCCCGCGCAUCGAACAACCAACUCAGAACUGGUACGUACAAAGCAUUGCGAUCCGACUGUUUAAUUAAAACAAAGCAUUGCGAUGGUCCCAAUGGAUGCUCACGCAAUGUGAUUUCUUCCCAGUGCUCUGAAUGUCAAAGUGAAGAAAUUCAACCAAGCGCGGGUAAAUGGCGGGAGUAACUAUGACUCUCUUAAGGUAGACAAAUGCCUCGUCAUCUAAUUAGUGACGCGCAUGAAUGGAUUAACGAGAUUCCCACUGUCCCUGUAUACUAUCCAGCGAAACCACAGCCAAGGGAACGGGCUUGGCAGAAACAGCGGAGAAACAAGACCCUGUUGAGCUUGACUCUAGUCUGACUUUGUGAAGUGACUUGAGAGGUGUAGUGUAAGUGGGAGACGAAAGGUGAAAGUGAAAUACCACUACUUUUAACAUUAUUUUACUCAUUCCGUGAAUCAGAAGCGGGGCACUGUCCCUCUUUUUGGACCCAAGGCUCGCUCUGCGGGCCGAUACGGGCGAAAGACAUUGUCAGGUGGGGAGUUUCGCUUGGGCGGCACAUUUGUUAAAAGAUAACGCAGGUGUCCUAAGAUGAGCUCAACGAGAACAGAAAUCUCGAGUGGAACAGAAGGGUAAAAGCUCUUUUGAUUCUAAUUUCCAGUACGAAUACGAACCGGGAAAGUGUGGCCUAACGAUCCUUUAGACCUUCGGAAUUCGAAGCUAGAGGUGUCAGAAAAGUUACCACAGGGAUAACUGGCUUGUGAAAGCCAAGCGUUCAUAGCGACGUUGCUUUUUGUGGAGGCAUGCCGCAAUUAGAGGUUUUUGUGACCGUCGAGUGCAAUGCUGGAAAUGCCUCCAAUAACGAAUGUCGACGGACGUAUAAUGGCCUACCAUGGUGGUGUCUUUGUCAAGUUGGAUAUCCGUGCACCGUAGCACCAAGGCAUCUUGGCCCCGUGGCGCCAUGGCACCAAGGCCCCGUGGCGCCAUGGCACCAAGGCACCGUGGCGCCAUGGCACCAAGGCACCAAGGCACCAUGGUACCAUGACACCAUGUCACCAAGGCAGCAAGGCACCGCUGCACCAUGGCACCGCAGCACCAUGGCACCGCGGCACCGUGGCGCCAUGGCGCCGUGGCACUGUGGCACCAAGGCACCGGGGCAUCGU
This 3223-nucleotide ribosomal RNA is filed under the name Capsicum baccatum. Its description in RNAcentral is "eukaryotic LSU rRNA". The stretch from base 385 to 2897 matches the Rfam family "Eukaryotic large subunit ribosomal RNA". Lineage: Eukaryota; Viridiplantae; Streptophyta; Magnoliopsida; Solanales; Solanaceae. The record is from RNAcentral.